AACGAACGCUGGCGGCAGGCUUAACACAUGCAAGUCGAACGGCUGUAGCAAUACAGCAGUGGCAGACGGGUGAGUAACACGUGGGAACCUUCCUCGUAGUACGGAACAACUCAGGGAAACUUGAGCUAAUACCGUAUACGCCCCCGGACUUGAUCCGGGGGGAAAGAUUUAUCGCUAUGAGACGGGCCCGCGCCGGAUUAGGUAGUUGGUGGGGUAACGGCCUACCAAGCCGACGAUCCGUAGCUGANCUGAGAGGAUGAUCAGCCACACUGGGACUGAGACACGGCCCAGACUCCGUACGGGAGGCAGCAGGUGGGGAAUCUUGCGCAAUGGGACGAAAGCCUGACGCAGCGACGCCGCGUGAGGAUGACGC
RNAcentral lists this ribosomal RNA (373 nucleotides) under uncultured bacterium. RNAcentral describes it as "bacterial SSU rRNA". It matches the Rfam family "Bacterial small subunit ribosomal RNA", at positions 29 to 414 of the family's 1533-position model. The record is from RNAcentral.